UCCGUAGGUGAACCUGCGGAAGGAUCAUUACACAAUGAAAAGUGCUUAACUGCAUUUUUUCUUACACAUGUGUUUUUCUUUUUUUGAAAACUUUGCUUUGGUAGGCCUUCUAUAUGGGGCCUGCCAGAGAUUAAACUCAACCAAAUUUUAUUUAAUGUCAACCGAUUAUUUAAUAGUCAAAACUUUCAACAACGGAUCUCUUGGUUCUCGCAUCGAUGAAGAACGCAGCGAAAUGCGAUAAGUAAUAUGAAUUGCAGAUAUUCGUGAAUCAUCGAAUCUUUGAACGCACAUUGCGCCCUUUGGUAUUCCAAAGGGCAUGCCUGUUUGAGCGUCAUUUCUCCCUCAAACCCUCGGGUUUGGUGUUGAGCGAUACGCUGGGUUUGCUUGAAAGAAAGGCGGAGUAUAAACUAAUGGAUAGGUUUUUUCCACUCAUUGGUACAAACUCCAAAACUUCUUCCAAAUUCGACCUCAAAUCAGGUAGGACUACCCGCUGAACUUAAGCAUAUCAAUAAGCGGAGGAAAAG
This 524-nucleotide ribosomal RNA is filed under the name Lodderomyces parapsilosis. RNAcentral describes it as "eukaryotic LSU rRNA". The stretch from base 181 to 334 matches the Rfam family "5.8S ribosomal RNA". Lineage: Eukaryota; Fungi; Ascomycota; Pichiomycetes; Serinales; Debaryomycetaceae. The record is from RNAcentral.